This 468-nucleotide ribosomal RNA is filed under the name uncultured bacterium. RNAcentral describes it as "partial 16S ribosomal RNA". It matches the Rfam family "Bacterial small subunit ribosomal RNA", at positions 28 to 507 of the family's 1533-position model. The record is from RNAcentral.
GACGAACGCUGGCGGCGUGCUUAACACAUGCAAGUCGAACGGAAAGGCCCUGCUUUUGUGGGGUGCUCGAGUGGCGAACGGGUGAGUAACACGUGAGUAACCUGCCCUUGACUUUGGGAUAACUUCAGGAAACUGGGUCUAAUACCGGAUAGGAGCUCCUGCUGCAUGGUGGGGGUUGGAAAGUUUCGGCGGUUGGGGAUGGACUCGCGGCUUAUCAGCUUGUUGGUGGGGUAGUGGCUUACCAAGGCUUUGACGGGUAGCCGGCCUGGGAGGGUGACCGGCCACAUUGGGACUGAGAUACGGCCCAGACUCCUACGGGAGGCAGCAGUGGGGAAUAUUGCACAAUGGGAGGAAGCCUGAUGCAGCAACGCCGCGUGCGGGAUGACGGCCUUCGGGUUGUAAACCGCUUUCGCCUGUGACGAAGCGUGAGUGACGGUAAUGGGUAAAGAAGCACCGGCUAACUACGUG